Molecule: long non-coding RNA, 528 nt
Filed under: Setaria viridis
Lineage: Eukaryota; Viridiplantae; Streptophyta; Magnoliopsida; Poales; Poaceae
Description: long non-coding RNA (SVIR_LNC005282)
Source: RNAcentral
AUCCGUUCAUCGGACAUCACUACAUCGGCACAUCGCCCUCUCCGCGAGCUCACGCGUUCCGGGGCUCCUCCUACCUCCUCUCACGAGUGUGGACUGGGGAUCCAUCCAUCUGCCGGACCUGGAUUGAUUUCUUCUUUCCCUGGUAAGCUCCGAAGGAUCUUUCUUUCCUGCGAUUUCUCAAAUCCAUGUCGUCCUGGCUGGGAUACGAUCCAUCGAUUUUGUUGCGGGCUUGUUCCCCUGCGCGGUGGGGGAUGCUAACAACUUUAGUGCCCCCUGCACACCCCCCCCCCCCCCCCCCCCCCCAAAUUUUCGUUUGGGCUGUUAAUCUCGCGCCUGAUUUUUGUAUGGGAUGGGGCGCGUUGGUGGUGGUGGAUCGGUGAUGGAUUUGUACGAUCCUUUGUCUCACGUAGAGAUUGUGUUGUGCAGAGACAUCCGAGGAUGUCGACUCCCGCGAGGAAGCGGUUGAUGAGGGAUUUCAAGCGGCUGAUGCAGGACCCUCCGGCCGGCAUAAGUGGCGCCCCGCAGGAU